AACGAACGCUGGCGGCAUGCCUAACACAUGCAAGUCGAACGAGACCUUCGGGUCUAGUGGCGCACGGGUGCGUAACGCGCGGGAACCUGCCCUUAGGUUCGGAAUAACUCCCCGAAAGGGGUGCUAAUACCGGAUAAUGUCUUCGGACCAAAGAUUUAUCGCCUUUGGAUGGGCCCGCGUUGGAUUAGCUAGUUGGUAGGGUAAAAGCCUACCAAGGCGACGAUCCAUAGCUGGUCUGAGAGGAUGAUCAGCCACACUGGGACUGAGACACGGCCCAGACUCCUACGGGAGGCAGCAGUGGGGAAUAUUGGACAAUGGGCGAAAGCCUGAUCCAGCAAUGCCGCGUGAGUGAUGAAGGCCUUAGGGUUGUAAAGCUCUUUUAACCGGGAUGAUAAUGACAGUACCGGGAGAAUAAGCUCCGGCUAACUCCGUG
Molecule: ribosomal RNA, 433 nt
Filed under: uncultured bacterium
Lineage: Bacteria
Description: partial 16S ribosomal RNA
Rfam family: Bacterial small subunit ribosomal RNA
Source: RNAcentral